Molecule: ribosomal RNA, 253 nt
Filed under: uncultured bacterium
Lineage: Bacteria
Description: partial 16S ribosomal RNA
Rfam family: Bacterial small subunit ribosomal RNA
Source: RNAcentral
UACAGAGGUCCCAAGCGUUGUUCGGAAUCAUUGGGCGUAAAGAGCGUGUAGGCGGUCCGGUAAGUCCGCUGUGAAAGUCGGGGGCUCAACCCUCGAAUGCCGGUGGAUACUGUCGGGCUAGAGUGCGGAAGAGGCGAGUGGAAUUCCUGGUGUAGCGGUGAGAUGCGCAGAUAUCAGGAGGAACACCUAUUGCGAAGGCAGCUCGCUGGGACGUAACUGACGCUGAGACGCGAAAGCGUGGGGAGCAAACAGG